GUUUUCAAUAUUAAAGAGUUCCUGUCGGUCUCGUCGUUACCGGCCUUCGCAUGCGAGUCAGUCGCUCUCGAGCGCUUCGUCCGGAUAUAACGCGCGCUCGAAUUUUGAAUACGUAUAUACAUUCUGAUAUACAAACCGAGGAAAAUCUGACGUACACUCCCGCGCGCGUUCUCUCACCGCGUCGGAGAUAUACCACGGGAAUUUCGAGGGAAUAGAUCCGUGCGUGAUCCGUUGGUCGCAACGGCGACUCCUCAUCGUCGUCGUCGAGAAACGGCGCGCCAGCGGCUUCACCGACACAUUCAGGUAGCGGAACGUGGCCAGAAUUGGAGACAUUCGGUCACUACCAGCGGCUGUAUCAUGCACAUCAGCAGCAUAUGAACGUGUUGCGCCACGAUCUAUAACUCAACUAAUAUGCAGAUUUCAAUUACAAAAAAGAUCAUGUUAUUUUCUCAAAGAAAUAAAAACAUACUGAAAAGUUCAAAAAUGCGUUCUUACAAUUUAUUUGUAAAAACAUUUCAAAGAAACUCCUGAUUCUUGCUUAUAAACUACC
This is a long non-coding RNA of Odontomachus brunneus, 550 nucleotides long. RefSeq lists it as uncharacterized. The transcript is spliced from 3 exons. The record is from RefSeq and is a predicted model, not a curated record. Lineage: Eukaryota; Metazoa; Arthropoda; Insecta; Hymenoptera; Formicidae.